Molecule: ribosomal RNA, 903 nt
Filed under: Alternaria alternata
Lineage: Eukaryota; Fungi; Ascomycota; Dothideomycetes; Pleosporales; Pleosporaceae
Description: partial large subunit ribosomal RNA
Rfam family: Eukaryotic large subunit ribosomal RNA
Source: RNAcentral
AAGCAUAUCAAUAAGCGGAGGAAAAGAAACCAACAGGGAUUGCCCUAGUAACGGCGAGUGAAGCGGCAACAGCUCAAAUUUGAAAUCUGGCUCUUUUAGAGUCCGAGUUGUAAUUUGCAGAGGGCGCUUUGGCUUUGGCAGCGGUCCAAGUUCCUUGGAACAGGACGUCACAGAGGGUGAGAAUCCCGUACGUGGUCGCUGGCUAUUGCCGUGUAAAGCCCCUUCGACGAGUCGAGUUGUUUGGGAAUGCAGCUCUAAAUGGGAGGUACAUUUCUUCUAAAGCUAAAUAUUGGCCAGAGACCGAUAGCGCACAAGUAGAGUGAUCGAAAGAUGAAAAGCACUUUGGAAAGAGAGUCAAACAGCACGUGAAAUUGUUGAAAGGGAAGCGCUUGCAGCCAGACUUGCUUACAGUUGCUCAUCCGGGUUUCUACCCGGUGCACUCUUCUGUAGGCAGGCCAGCAUCAGUUUGGGCGGUAGGAUAAAGGUCUCUGUCACGUACCUCCUUUCGGGGAGGCCUUAUAGGGGAGACGACAUACUACCAGCCUGGACUGAGGUCCGCGCAUCUGCUAGGAUGCUGGCGUAAUGGCUGUAAGCGGCCCGUCUUGAAACACGGACCAAGGAGUCUAACAUCUAUGCGAGUGUUUGGGUGUCAAGCCCGAGCGCGUAAUGAAAGUGAACGGAGGUGGGAACCCGCAAGGGUGCACCAUCGACCGAUCCUGAUGUCUUCGGAAGGAUUUGAGUAAGAGCAUGGCUGUUGGGACCCGAAAGAUGGUGAACUAUGCUUGAAUAGGGUGAAGCCAGAGGAAACUCUGGUGGAGGCUCGCAGCGGUUCUGACGUGCAAAUCGAUCGUCAAAUUUGGGCAUAGGAGCGAAAGACUAAUCGAACUAUCUAUUACCUGGUUC